This 429-nucleotide small RNA is filed under the name Pan troglodytes (chimpanzee). RNAcentral's name for it is "processed transcript". Lineage: Eukaryota; Metazoa; Chordata; Mammalia; Primates; Hominidae. The record is from RNAcentral.
AGAAGUAAAAAUACAUGUUUGAGAGCCUUAUAUUUGGGAGUUUUGUGUUGUAUUUUUUUUUCCUUACAGUGCUAGAUUCUUUCCCUUAAUUCCACACAGAUCCCAUCGCUACAAUAUGUGAGCAGAUGAAACCCUGAUUAGUCCCAGAAUGCUACGAAGGGGAAGAGGAGGACGUUUAUUAGAGUAUGCUGAGCUGCUGUGGAAUGACAGAAAAACAAAGUCUCUGUAAGAAUACAAAGAUUGACUUCUGCCAUCACCAUCAACUACGUCAGGGACCUGGAGCCCUUUGCUGGAUGCAGCUGGUCCUUCCAUGGGGCUGCUUACCUCAUGGGAUGCUCAGACAAACAUCUUCUUUUCUUUUGGGAUUCAGAUAUGAGCAAUAUUAUCUUGCAUCACAUAUGAUUACAAUAAAAAUAUACAAUGUCUUUC